Molecule: non-coding RNA, 133 nt
Organism: Pelobates cultripes (western spadefoot toad)
Lineage: Eukaryota; Metazoa; Chordata; Amphibia; Anura; Pelobatidae
Source: the annotation of a GenBank genome assembly
UCCUCCCACAAAGGCGUGCCUGUACAGCUUUGUCUUCAGGUGCGUAAGAACUGGAGGUAAAGCAUUUAGACUGAUGGGUGUUAAUGCACUUGUUUCUUGUGAGACAGGAGCAGAUAUCAUCAUUCUUACAUGG